CCGACCAGAUUGUACUAGUGGACUGAAUCACAAUAGUUUCUCACAACUCAUGAUGUCGUAAGGGAAAAUAAUGAUAAUACCUUACUAAUAGUGUCGUCCAAAUCUGGUGCCAGAAGACUCGGUAAGACCAGAGACGCAAACGUUAAUCAUCAUAAACAGGCGUAAAGGGUUUGUAGGCGGUUUCCAUAAGACUAUGAAUAAACAAAUAAAGUAGUCUAAUUGGAAGCUAGAAUCAAAAAGAGGUUAUAGUGUAUAACGCUUAGAGGAGGGCUGAUAUCUUUAGAUCCUAAGCAGAAUACUAAGGGCGAAGGCCACUUUCCAUUAAUGAUUGACGCUGAGAAACGAAGGUUAGGGUAAGAAAUAGGAUUAGAUACCCCGGUACUCCUUUCUGUAAACGAUGAAUGGUAGUCAUUAGUUUAAGUUAAACUAGAGGCGAAGUUAACACGAUAACCAUUCCGCCUUGUGAGUACUACUGCAAAGUAGAAAACAAAAAAAUUAGUCGGUCUCGAAGCAAACGGAGUGAAGCAUGUUAUUUAUG
RNAcentral lists this ribosomal RNA (538 nucleotides) under Trametes ochracea. Its description in RNAcentral is "SSU rRNA". It matches the Rfam family "Bacterial small subunit ribosomal RNA", at positions 383 to 950 of the family's 1533-position model. The record is from RNAcentral. Lineage: Eukaryota; Fungi; Basidiomycota; Agaricomycetes; Polyporales; Polyporaceae.